This 359-nucleotide unclassified non-coding RNA is filed under the name soil metagenome. RNAcentral describes it as "partial contains 5.8S ribosomal RNA, internal transcribed spacer 2, and large subunit ribosomal RNA". The stretch from base 1 to 120 matches the Rfam family "5.8S ribosomal RNA", at positions 35 to 154 of the family's 154-position model. The record is from RNAcentral.
GAUGAAGAACGUAGCGAAAUGCGAUAAGUAAUGUGAAUUGCAGAAUUCAGUGAAUCAUCGAAUCUUUGAACGCACAUUGCGCCCGCCAGUAUUCUGGCGGGCAUGCCUGUUCGAGCGUCAUUUCAACCCUCAAGACCCCUUCGGGGGACUUGGUGUUGGGGACCGGCAUAGGGGCCUUGCGCCCCUCGCCGCCCCCGAAAUGAAUUGGCGGCCUCGUCGCGGCCUCCCCUGCGUAGUAGCACAACCUCGCAACGGGAACGUGACGGCGGCCACUGCCGUAAAACAACCCAAUUUUAUUAGAGUUGACCUCGAAUCAGGUAGGAAUACCCGCUGAACUUAAGCAUAUCAAUAGCGGAGGA